Molecule: ribosomal RNA, 254 nt
Filed under: uncultured bacterium
Lineage: Bacteria
Description: partial 16S ribosomal RNA
Rfam family: Bacterial small subunit ribosomal RNA
Source: RNAcentral
UACAGAGGGUGCAAGCGUUGUUCGGAAUUAUUGGGCGUAAAGCGCGUGUAGGCGGCGACUGCAAGUCGGGUGUGAAAUCCCUCAGCUUAACUGAGGAAGUGCGCCCGAAACUGCAGCGCUUGAGUGCCGGAGAGGGUGGCGGAAUUCCCCAAGUAGAGGUGAAAUUCGUAGAUAUGGGGAGGAACACCGGUGGCGAAGGCGGCCACCUGGACGGUGACUGACGCUGAGACGCGAAAGCGUGGGGAGCAAACAGG